UCCUUAUCAAGAGCGAUGGAGGGAAUAGGCCCUAUGAAGUCCAGCAACCGGUUUUACACGGUGCUAAAUCCUACAGAUAUGAUAAAUAUCUGGAAGAUGAGGU
Molecule: non-coding RNA, 103 nt
Filed under: Fusibacter sp. 3D3
Lineage: Bacteria; Bacillati; Bacillota; Clostridia; Eubacteriales; Fusibacteraceae
Also listed under: 1 other name
Description: Fusibacter sp. 3-D3-R-P8ASC2010 SAM riboswitch aptamer (S box leader)
Rfam family: SAM riboswitch aptamer (S box leader)
About the family: The SAM riboswitch is found upstream of a number of genes which code for proteins involved in methionine or cysteine biosynthesis in Gram-positive bacteria. The SAM riboswitch acts at the level of transcription termination control.
Source: Rfam by way of RNAcentral